Molecule: long non-coding RNA, 529 nt
Organism: Passer domesticus (house sparrow)
Lineage: Eukaryota; Metazoa; Chordata; Aves; Passeriformes; Passeridae
Exons: 3
Source: RefSeq, a predicted model, not a curated record
CUGUGAGGACCCUGACCUAUUGAAAUCCUGUGAGGACCCUGACCAAUUGAGAGCAGCCCUGAAGAGAAGGAGACAGGAGUACUGGGGGAUCAGAGGCUGAACAUGAGCCAGAAUUGUGAACUCACAGCCCAGAAAGUCAAGUGUCCUCUGGGUUGCAUCAAAGGAAGUAUGACCAGCAGCUUGAGGGUAGUGAUCCUCCCUCUCAGCUUGUCUCAAGAGAUUCCCCCCUGGAGUACCGUGUUCAGCCCCGGGGCUGUCAGCAGAAGCAGGACACAGAGUGAAGGAGUUGUACUUGUCUCCCUACAUUAUCAAUGUGUUAAUAAGCCAGUCAACAAUGGAAUAAGAUUAAAGCAGCUAGCAGAACAAAACCCAGACUGUUUUGGAUCUGGCCCAUCUUCAGGUGUACAAAGAAAAGCAGUAAAAAAAAGAAAAAUCAGUUGAAAGUUGCUGACCAAAAAUUGUCAACACCUCUGACCUUGCUGUACCUAACCAGGCUGGUAGAGACUGGCCACAUCUCAAGAAUAAUCAA